RNAcentral lists this long non-coding RNA (207 nucleotides) under Elaeis guineensis (African oil palm). RNAcentral describes it as "long non-coding RNA (EGUI_LNC082336)". Lineage: Eukaryota; Viridiplantae; Streptophyta; Magnoliopsida; Arecales; Arecaceae. The record is from RNAcentral.
UGGGUGCGGCACCAUGAACGAUGGCACUGGUGGCCGAAAAAAGAAAGAAGAAUGCUCGUUCAAAAUAGAAAAAAAUAGAAUUUUUAUUUUUAUGGGAUUUCCGACGAAUCCGACAACUGGCAGGGGCGCACGAUGCCAUGGAAAGGAGAGGAAGAAAGAGAGGAAGGAGGAUCGAUACUUACCUCUAACUCCGAUGAGAUCACCGAC